GAGAUGAUCAGAGAGCGUCAUGCACGGAGCCUGUCAGCACAACGCUACGAACAUGGAAGCAAUCGAAAUUCACCCUCUAUAACAGGCUCACUGCCUGGAUAUGGACGAAAUGGACUGCAUCGGCCUCAGUCGAC
Molecule: long non-coding RNA, 134 nt
Organism: Sinocyclocheilus grahami
Lineage: Eukaryota; Metazoa; Chordata; Actinopteri; Cypriniformes; Cyprinidae
Exons: 3
Source: RefSeq, a predicted model, not a curated record